This 979-nucleotide long non-coding RNA is filed under the name Nicotiana benthamiana. Its description in RNAcentral is "long non-coding RNA (NBEN_LNC025684)". The record is from RNAcentral. Lineage: Eukaryota; Viridiplantae; Streptophyta; Magnoliopsida; Solanales; Solanaceae.
UUUAGCAAAACUUCCGACCGAAAUCGAUCGGAAACUAAUUUUUUUACCCAGAAAUGCACAGUUUCCGACCGAAAUCGGUCGGAAAUUUCAAAUAAACUCCCCAGAUUAUUGAAAUUCCCGACCGAUAUCAGUCGGAAAUUAUGAAUUUAUAUUUAUUUCUUUAGUAAAUUAAUGAUUUACAAAAAUUAUUUAAUUAAAUAAUCUUAUUAAUAUUUAAUAGUUUCCACCGAUUCGGUCGGAAAGAUAAUUAAAAAAAAUAAAUAUUAAUAUUUUUCGAUCGAUUUCGGUCGGAAAUUUGAAAAUUAAUUCCCACUCAAUCAAUUGAAUUUUCCGACCUAUUGUGGUCGGCCUGUUUUUGCGACUAUUAUUUUUCCCUCCAAUUAAAAGUGGUCGAAAAUUGAUAAUUUCUGGCCAAUUUUGGUUGGAAAUUUUUGACGAAAAUUACCUAAUUUCUAGUAGUGUUAAUUUUGGCUAAUGAAUGGUAGAGAACUUUCGGUUACCCGUACAUGUUGAUAAAGAAACAAUGGCUAGCUUGCCAGAUAUUACAUGUUUUAUAACUUUUUCUUUAUGUUACUUAUUGGAUAAGGCUGAAUGAAAGUACUCACAAGGAGGGCUUAAACCGAUUUGUGCUUCAAGAAGUUGAGAUUCUUACCGUUCAUGAUACAAUUUGGUUCUUCCUAAUCUUUUCUAAUUAGAUUAUUCAUCUACUAUACAUAUGAUAUUGCCUCCAUUGAGUAAAAAAGGGUAUAUUACGUUAAGUAAUAAUUUAGUUAUUUCUAUGGUUUCUUUUGAUUACUUGUUGCUUAUUAUUUUAUUUGAUUUUGUAGGCACAUCUAUCAGAACUAUGCCACAUUGUAUAAGAGCCCAAAAAGAAUGUAACAUACUAUUAGUCAGCAUUAUUUCUAGGAUUUAUUGUAGAUAUUUCCCUUAUUAUAGUGAAUGGAUGUAUACUACUGUCAAAAUUCUAAUACAUUUUCUG